Molecule: ribosomal RNA, 497 nt
Filed under: uncultured bacterium
Lineage: Bacteria
Description: partial 16S ribosomal RNA
Rfam family: Bacterial small subunit ribosomal RNA
Source: RNAcentral
GAUGAACGCUGGCGGCGUGCCUAAUACAUGCAAGUCGAGCGAACAGACGAGGAGCUUGCUCCUCUGACGUUAGCGGCGGACGGGUGAGUAACACGUGGAUAACCUACCUAUAAGACUGGGAUAACUUCGGGAAACCGGAGCUAAUACCGGAUAAUAUAUUGAACCGCAUGGUUCAAUAGUGAAAGAAGGGUUUGCUGUCACUUAUAGAUGGAUCCGCGCCGCAUUAGCUAGUUGGUAAGGUAACGGCUUACCAAGGCAACGAUGCGUAGCCGACCUGAGAGGGUGAUCGGCCACACUGGAACUGAGACACGGUCCAGACUCCUACGGGAGGCAGCAGUAGGGAAUCUUCCGCAAUGGGCGAAAGCCUGACGGAGCAACGCCGCGUGAGUGAUGAAGGUCUUCGGAUCGUAAAACUCUGUUAUUAGGGAAGAACAAAUGUGUAAGUAACUAUGCACGUCUUGACGGUACCUAAUCAGAAAGCCACGGCUAACUACGUG